This 487-nucleotide ribosomal RNA is filed under the name uncultured bacterium. Its description in RNAcentral is "bacterial SSU rRNA". It matches the Rfam family "Bacterial small subunit ribosomal RNA", at positions 28 to 518 of the family's 1533-position model. The record is from RNAcentral.
GACGAACGCUGGCGGCGUGCCUAACACAUGCAAGUCGUACGGAGUUCACUUGGAAGCUUGCUUCCGAGUGAACUUAGUGGCGGACGGGUGAGUAACGCGUGAGCAACCUGCCUCACAGAGGGGGAUAACACACGGAAACGUGUGCUAAUACCGCAUAAUCCGAUGAAGCGGCAUCGCUUUAUCGGCAAAGGAGCAAUCCGCUGUGAGAUGGGCUCGCGUCCGAUUAGAUAGUUGGUGAGGUAACGGCUCACCAAGUCUACGAUCGGUAGCCGGACUGAGAGGUUGGACGGCCACAUUGGGACUGAGACACGGCCCAAACUCCUACGGGAGGCAGCAGUGAGGGAUAUUGCACAAUGGGCGAAAGCCUGAUGCAGCGACGCCGCGUGAGGGAUGACGGGUCUUCGGAUUGUAAACCUCUGUCCUUGGUGAAGAAGAAAGUGACGGUAGCCAAGGAGGAAGCCACGGCUAACUACGUGCCAGCAGACCC